This is a long non-coding RNA of Mytilus trossulus (common blue mussel), 372 nucleotides long. RefSeq lists it as uncharacterized. The record is from RefSeq and is a predicted model, not a curated record. NCBI's taxonomy places the organism in Eukaryota, Metazoa, Mollusca, Bivalvia, Mytilida, Mytilidae. The transcript is spliced from 2 exons.
AGAGUGAUUUUAAUUUAGUAAAUCCUUAUGGACGAAUGAAUCCAGCACCAUUUUAUGGCGGUUUUUCUCAAAGCUUUCCAGAACAUAUGCCACCCAAGCCACUCCCGUGUCUGCCAACUCAUGAACGUUUAUGGAGCAGAGAUGCAUAUGGAAAUAUGCAACAGACGCCAAACCAAUUGACACCCUAUCAAGGAGUGAAGUGACGCUUAUAUUUUUCCCAACGCUAUUUCUGUCAAUGUCUGAUGAAGGAAAUAAUACACUGAAAAUCUAAAUUGAAUGCAUGUCUAAUAUCAGCCUGUCUAUGAUUUAUUUAACCAGAAUGGCAUAAAAAGGGAUUUAUAAAAACAUGAAAAAGAUUAAUUCCAUAACUCA